Molecule: long non-coding RNA, 1065 nt
Organism: Zonotrichia albicollis (white-throated sparrow)
Lineage: Eukaryota; Metazoa; Chordata; Aves; Passeriformes; Passerellidae
Source: RefSeq, a predicted model, not a curated record
CCAGGACAUUGUGCACAGUGGCUGGGGGUGGGGAGCUGAUUGCAGGGCAUUUCUGAGAAGCAGGGCCCUGUGCUUAUCCAUUUGCAAACACGGGAAAUGAUGACAGUGGUUGGAAGCUUUGAAGAGACAGGGGGAAGGGGAAAGAGAGAAGCCAGAAAGAAAAGGAUUGGGGGCUAAAAGAGACCUUGUCCAGAAAAGACUGAUAAAUUCUUCUUUUCAGAUUCCUUGAUCACUGUGCUGGAACAAUGAGACUCACCCUGAAGUGAUUGAUCAGGGGGCACUGCUCUCACAGGGACCCAAGGAGAAGGGAGAAGUCUCAGCCACAGCAACUGUGCUCGUUGUCAAAGGUGUGCACGAGUAUGUCCUAGUCACCAGCCCAAAUACACCUCAAGCCUUUCAUCAAUUCCACAGUGCCAUGCCUCAGCAAAAUCAUACUGAUUUUUAUCCAUGUGGCAUUUCUACAUGAAUUUACAUCAAAAUGAAGAAAAAGUCCAGGAUUUUUUUUGACGGACAUAAUUUACAAGACACAAGAUUUUUUGUAAAGAGUGGGUGGCCUAUUGAACAUGAUUAACUUGACUCUGAUGGAAAGGAAAAAAUAACCUGGAAACAUCUGGCAAAUUGUAAAGCAUUGCCUAACAUUUUUUUCCCUGUAGGAUUUAAUUCAGAAACAUACUUAAUGGAUCCCCAUUUACCUAAAGCACUAAAGGUUUUGAUGCAGGGGUUUGGGGGAUUUGGGUUUGGUUUCUCUCACCCUACUAGCUGUAGCUCUGUAAUAUUUCAUCUCAUACUCCUGAAUCCAUUAGAAAAAAUGUGCAAUUACAAGGUGGGCAUGGUGCUGCGUUGAUAAGGUGUUUACUGUUCCAGGCUGGUUUGUUGUGCUUUGUAUGCACAUUUGAGUCUUGAAAUAUGUGAAAAUUAAUUUCCUGUGUUCCAUAUGGCUAAAAUGACAUGUAAUUUGAAAUGUAAUUUAGGGACUCACAUAAAUAGAAAUUUGAAAAUGAUUUUUAAGAAUUAAAGCAAUGUUGGUAAAAUUUUUAGAGGAUUUUAUUUAAUUCACCAGGUAAU